This 497-nucleotide ribosomal RNA is filed under the name uncultured bacterium. Its description in RNAcentral is "partial 16S ribosomal RNA". It matches the Rfam family "Bacterial small subunit ribosomal RNA", at positions 28 to 507 of the family's 1533-position model. The record is from RNAcentral.
GACGAACGCUGGCGGCGUGCCUAAUACAUGCAAGUUGAGCGCUGAAGGUUGGUCCUUGUACCAACGGGAUGAGCAGCGAACGGGUGAGUAACGCGUGGGGAAUCUGCCUUUGAGCGGGGGACAACAUUUGGAAACGAAUGCUAAUACCGCAUAAAAACUUUAAACAAAAUUUUUAAGUUUGAAAGUUGCAAUUGCAUCAUUCAAAGAUGAUCCCGCGUUGUAUUAGUUAGUUGGUGAGGUAAAGGCUAACCAAGGCGAUGAUACAUAGCCGACCUGAGAGGGUGAUCGGCCACAUUGGGACUGAGACACGGCCCAAACUCCUACGGGAGGCAGCAGUAGGGAAUCUUCGGCAAUGGACGAAAGUCUGACCGAGCAACGCCGCGUGAGUGAAGAAGGUUUUCGGAUCGUAAAACUCUGUUGGUAGAGAAGAACGUUGGUGAGAGUGGAAAGCUCAUCAAGUGACGGUAACUUCCCAGAAAGGGACGGCUAACUACGUG